UCAAGUGUAUUAACUGUUCUUAUCAGUUUAAUAGGUGAUAUUUCCCGCAUGCGGGACUAGUCUAUUAAAUGGAUUUUCAGUAUUGGAAGUUGAAUUAGGACGUUGCUCUAUCCGCUGCACGCAUCGACCUGGUAUUGCAGGUCUCUCUCUCUGUCUCUGU
This 160-nucleotide small nuclear RNA is filed under the name Eptatretus burgeri (inshore hagfish). RNAcentral's name for it is "U2 spliceosomal RNA (ENSEBUG00000000218.1)". It matches the Rfam family "U2 spliceosomal RNA", at positions 27 to 183 of the family's 192-position model. Rfam says of the family: U2 is a small nuclear RNA (snRNA) component of the spliceosome (involved in pre-mRNA splicing). Complementary binding between U2 snRNA (in an area lying towards the 5' end but 3' to hairpin I) and the branchpoint sequence (BPS) of the intron results the bulging out of an unpaired adenosine, on the BPS, which initiates a nucleophilic attack at the intronic 5' splice site, thus starting the first of two transesterification reactions that mediate splicing. Lineage: Eukaryota; Metazoa; Chordata; Myxini; Myxiniformes; Myxinidae. The record is from RNAcentral.